RNAcentral lists this ribosomal RNA (253 nucleotides) under uncultured bacterium. RNAcentral's name for it is "partial 16S ribosomal RNA". It matches the Rfam family "Bacterial small subunit ribosomal RNA", at positions 524 to 776 of the family's 1533-position model. The record is from RNAcentral.
UACGUAGGUGACAAGCGUUAUCCGGAAUUACUGGGCGUAAAGCGCACGCAGGCGGCCGAGUAAGUCUGACGUGAAAUCUCCCGGCUUAACCGGGAGCGGUCGUUGGAAACUACUUGGCUUGAGGCGAUGAGAGGGGUGUGGAAUUCCCGGUGUAGUGGUGGAAUGCGUAGAUAUCGGGAGGAACAUCAGUGGCGAAAGCGGCACCCUGGCAUUAGCCUGACGCUGAGGCACGAAAGCGUGGGGAGCGAACAGG